RNAcentral lists this ribosomal RNA (530 nucleotides) under uncultured bacterium. RNAcentral's name for it is "bacterial SSU rRNA". It matches the Rfam family "Bacterial small subunit ribosomal RNA", at positions 777 to 1304 of the family's 1533-position model. The record is from RNAcentral.
AAUAGAUACCCGGGUAGUCCACGCCGUAAACGAUGAAUGCUAGGUGUUAGGGGUUUCGAUACCCUUGGUGCCGAAGUCAACACAUUAAGCAUUCCGCCUGGGGAGUACGGUCGCAAGACUGAAACUCAAAGGAAUCGACGGGGACCCGCACAAGCAGUGGAGUAUGUGGUUUAAUUCGAAGCAACGCGAAGAACCUUACCAGGUCUUGACAUCCCGAUGAAAAUCUCAGAGAUGAGACCCCUCUUCGGAGCAUUGGAGACAGGUGGUGCAUGGUUGUCGUCAGCUCGUGUCGUGAGAUGUUGGGUUAAGUCCCGCAACGAGCGCAACCCUUGAUCUUAGUUGCCAGCAGGUAAGGCUGGGCACUCUAAGAUGACUGCCGGUGACAAACCGGAGGAAGGUGGGGAUGACGUCAAAUCAUCAUGCCCCUUAUGACCUGGGCUACACACGUACUACAAUGGCCGGUACAACGGGAAGCGAAGCCGCGAGGUGGAGCGAAUCCAAUAAAAGCCGGUCUCAGUUCGGAUUGCAGG